CUUAUCUGCCAGAGACAGUGAAUUUCGCCUUAGGGUUGGUUGCGGGGAGAAAUGAAGCCAGCCAACUGUGAGGCCCCGCAUCUAACAGGCCACCUCAUGCCAACAACCAAAUGGAUUACCCCAGCCAACUGCCCCCAUCAUCUCUGAAUCCUGCAUUCUGCCCCCUGUCGUGGACUUCUCCUUAUCUUUAGCUGGCUGUCUCCAGAACUUUUUCUCACCUGGUAGCUGAGUCUGUGGCCCUAGAUCCUGUUGUUCGUGGUGUAACAGUCUGUCCCAUGGCUAUGCCUUCUUCUGACAUGAACUGUAGGAGAAAUGCUAGUGAUGAAAAAUAACACCUGUCCCUAUUACCUGAUCAAGUACCCACUCUAAGCCAAGUUUGGCAUAUAUCCUCUCUCACGUGGUCCUCAUGACGUCUCAUUAUUGCCCCCAUUUUACAGAUGAGAGCACUGACACUCAGAGGGAUUACAUCACAUGUCCAGACCACACAGCUGGGAUGUUGCAGAGCUGGAGUCAAUACUGAGUAUUUCUGUGUCUUACAGUCCUUGCCCUUUGCAAAUCGUGAAAAUUAAAAAGAUAAUGGACGUGACAGACUUUGUACCAAUAUAACACAGUCUUAUUAAAAUAACUUUUUCAAAAUAA
Bubalus bubalis (water buffalo) is the source of this 639-nucleotide long non-coding RNA. RefSeq lists it as uncharacterized. Lineage: Eukaryota; Metazoa; Chordata; Mammalia; Artiodactyla; Bovidae. The record is from RefSeq and is a predicted model, not a curated record. The transcript is spliced from 2 exons.